UUUUAUGGAGAGUUUGAUCCUGGCUCAGGAUGAACGCUGGCGGCGUGCCUAAUACAUGCAAGUCGAGCGAACGGAUGAGAAGCUUGCUUCUCUGAUGUUAGCGGCGGACGGG
Molecule: ribosomal RNA, 112 nt
Filed under: Staphylococcus aureus
Lineage: Bacteria; Bacillati; Bacillota; Bacilli; Caryophanales; Staphylococcaceae
Description: partial 16S ribosomal RNA
Rfam family: Bacterial small subunit ribosomal RNA
Source: RNAcentral